GACGAACGCUGGCGGCGUGCCUAAUACAUGCAAGUUGAGCGCUGAAGGUUGGUACUUGUACCAACUGGAUGAGCAGCGAACGGGUGAGUAACGCGUGGGGAAUCUGCCUUUGAGCGGGGGACAACAUUUGGAAACGAAUGCUAAUACCGCAUAAAAACUUUAAACACAAGUUUUAAGUUUGAAAGAUGCAAUUGCAUCACUCAAAGAUGAUCCCGCGUUGUAUUAGCUAGUUGGUGAGGUAAAGGCUCACCAAGGCGAUGAUACAUAGCCGACCUGAGAGGGUGAUCGGCCACAUUGGGACUGAGACACGGCCCAAACUCCUACGGGAGGCAGCAGUAGGGAAUCUUCGGCAAUGGACGAAAGUCUGACCGAGCAACGCCGCGUGAGUGAAGAAGGUUGUCGGAUCGUAAAACUCUGUUGGUAGAGAAGAACGUUGGUGAGAGUGGAAAGCUCAUCAAGUGACGGUAACUACUCAGAAAGGGACGGCUAACUACGUG
Molecule: ribosomal RNA, 497 nt
Filed under: uncultured bacterium
Lineage: Bacteria
Description: partial 16S ribosomal RNA
Rfam family: Bacterial small subunit ribosomal RNA
Source: RNAcentral